GCUUAAUGAUGAUUCCUUUCAACCUGAGCAAAUUGUAGUUGGUCCUUCAUUUGCGCAGUUGAUGUUUCAAGACGGGACUGAAAGCAGC
Molecule: small nucleolar RNA, 88 nt
Organism: Silurus meridionalis
Lineage: Eukaryota; Metazoa; Chordata; Actinopteri; Siluriformes; Siluridae
Product: small nucleolar RNA SNORD21
Exons: 1
Source: RefSeq, a predicted model, not a curated record